Molecule: ribosomal RNA, 254 nt
Filed under: uncultured bacterium
Lineage: Bacteria
Description: partial 16S ribosomal RNA
Rfam family: Bacterial small subunit ribosomal RNA
Source: RNAcentral
UACGUAGGGUGCAAGCGUUGUCCGGAAUUAUUGGGCGUAAAGAGCUCGUAGGCGGUCUGUCGCGUCUGCCGUGAAAACCCGAGGCUUAACCUCGGGCUGGCGGUGGAUACGGGCAGACUAGAGUGUGGUAGGGGAGACUGGAAUUCCUGGUGUAGCGGUGAAAUGCGCAGAUAUCAGGAGGAACACCGAUGGCGAAGGCAGGUCUCUGGGCCACUACUGACGCUGAGAAGCGAAAGCAUGGGGGAGCGAACAGG